This 77-nucleotide transfer RNA is filed under the name Holosporales bacterium. RNAcentral describes it as "tRNA-Pro". It matches the Rfam family "tRNA". From Rfam's summary of the family: Transfer RNA (tRNA) molecules are approximately 80 nucleotides in length. Their secondary structure includes four short double-helical elements and three loops (D, anti-codon, and T loops). Further hydrogen bonds mediate the characteristic L-shaped molecular structure. tRNAs have two regions of fundamental functional importance: the anti-codon, which is responsible for specific mRNA codon recognition, and the 3' end, to which the tRNAs corresponding amino acid is attached (by aminoacyl-tRNA synthetases). tRNAs cope with the degeneracy of the genetic code in two manners: having more than one tRNA (with a specific anti-codon) for a particular amino acid; and 'wobble' base-pairing, i.e. permitting non-standard base-pairing at the 3rd anti-codon position. The record is from RNAcentral. Lineage: Bacteria; Pseudomonadati; Pseudomonadota; Alphaproteobacteria; Holosporales.
CGGGAAGUGGCGCAGCCUGGUAGCGCAUCUGCUUUGGGAGCAGAGGGUCGGAGGUUCAAAUCCUCUCUUCCCGACCA